GCCUGGGUGGCUCAGUCGGUUAAGCGUCCGACUUCGGCUCAGGUCAUGAUCUCACGGUCCGUGAGUUCGAGCCCCACUUCGGGCU
Felis catus (domestic cat) is the source of this 85-nucleotide transfer RNA. It matches the Rfam family "tRNA". From Rfam's summary of the family: Transfer RNA (tRNA) molecules are approximately 80 nucleotides in length. Their secondary structure includes four short double-helical elements and three loops (D, anti-codon, and T loops). NCBI's taxonomy places the organism in Eukaryota, Metazoa, Chordata, Mammalia, Carnivora, Felidae. The record is from Rfam.